This 917-nucleotide ribosomal RNA is filed under the name Staphylococcus aureus. Its description in RNAcentral is "partial 23S ribosomal RNA". It matches the Rfam family "Bacterial large subunit ribosomal RNA", at positions 390 to 1314 of the family's 2925-position model. The record is from RNAcentral. Lineage: Bacteria; Bacillati; Bacillota; Bacilli; Caryophanales; Staphylococcaceae.
GUCUCUCUUGAGUGGAUCCUGAGUACGACGGAGCACGUGAAAUUCCGUCGGAAUCUGGGAGGACCAUCUCCUAAGGCUAAAUACUCUCUAGUGACCGAUAGUGAACCAGUACCGUGAGGGAAAGGUGAAAAGCACCCCGGAAGGGGAGUGAAAUAGAACCUGAAACCGUGUGCUUACAAGUAGUCAGAGCCCGUUAAUGGGUGAUGGCGUGCCUUUUGUAGAAUGAACCGGCGAGUUACGAUUUGAUGCAAGGUUAAGCAGUAAAUGUGGAGCCGUAGCGAAAGCGAGUCUGAAUAGGGCGUUUAGUAUUUGGUCGUAGACCCGAAACCAGGUGAUCUACCCUUGGUCAGGUUGAAGUUCAGGUAACACUGAAUGGAGGACCGAACCGACUUACGUUGAAAAGUGAGCGGAUGAACUGAGGGUAGCGGAGAAAUUCCAAUCGAACCUGGAGAUAGCUGGUUCUCUCCGAAAUAGCUUUAGGGCUAGCCUCAAGUGAUGAUUAUUGGAGGUAGAGCACUGUUUGGACGAGGGGCCCCUCUCGGGUUACCGAAUUCAGACAAACUCCGAAUGCCAAUUAAUUUAACUUGGGAGUCAGAACAUGGGUGAUAAGGUCCGUGUUCGAAAGGGAAACAGCCCAGACCACCAGCUAAGGUCCCAAAAUAUAUGUUAAGUGGAAAAGGAUGUGGCGUUGCCCAGACAACUAGGAUGUUGGCUUAGAAGCAGCCAUCAUUUAAAGAGUGCGUAAUAGCUCACUAGUCGAGUGACACUGCGCCGAAAAUGUACCGGGGCUAAACAUAUUACCGAAGCUGUGGAUUGUCCUUUGGACAAUGGUAGGAGAGCGUUCUAAGGGCGUUGAAGCAUGAUCGUAAGGACAUGUGGAGCGCUUAGAAGUGAGAAUGCCGGUGUGAGUAGCGAAA